GGGGUGGUACUUUAAAAAAAAGAGUUAGUUUGCAUCUAAUUAUUAGGCUCAGGCCUUCAUUCCU
Molecule: transfer RNA, 64 nt
Filed under: Mytilus trossulus (common blue mussel)
Lineage: Eukaryota; Metazoa; Mollusca; Bivalvia; Mytilida; Mytilidae
Description: tRNA-Ala
Source: RNAcentral